This 66-nucleotide transfer RNA is filed under the name Acanthodactylus aureus. Its description in RNAcentral is "tRNA-Arg". Lineage: Eukaryota; Metazoa; Chordata; Lepidosauria; Squamata; Lacertidae. The record is from RNAcentral.
GGGGGCUAGUUUAAUAAAAUUGUUGAUUUCGACUCAACCGAUCCUGCCACUACCAGGGCCCCUAAU